UAAGUGCCACAUUUUGAAACCAUCAGCUCUC
RNAcentral lists this non-coding RNA (31 nucleotides) under Homo sapiens (human). Lineage: Eukaryota; Metazoa; Chordata; Mammalia; Primates; Hominidae. The record is from RNAcentral.